This 468-nucleotide ribosomal RNA is filed under the name uncultured bacterium. RNAcentral's name for it is "partial 16S ribosomal RNA". It matches the Rfam family "Bacterial small subunit ribosomal RNA", at positions 28 to 507 of the family's 1533-position model. The record is from RNAcentral.
GACGAACGCUGGCGGCGUGCUUAACACAUGCAAGUCGAACGGAAAGGCCCUGCUUUUGUGGGGCGCUCGAGUGGCGAACGGGUGAGUAACACGUGAGUAACCUGCCCUUGACUUUGGGAUAACUUCAGGAAACUGGGGCUAAUACCGGAUAGGAGCUCCUGCUGCAUGGUGGGGGUUGGAAAGUUUCGGCGGUUGGGGAUGGACUCGCGGCUUAUCAGCUUGUUGGUGGGGUAGUGGCUUACCAAGGCUUUGACGGGUAGCCGGCCUGAGAGGGUGACCGGCCACAUUGGGACUGAGAUACGGCCCAGACUCCUACGGGAGGCAGCAGUGGGGAAUAUUGCACAAUGGGCGGAAGCCUGAGGCAGCAACGCCGCGUGCGGGAUGACGGCCUUCGGGUUGUAAACCGCUUUCGCCUGUGACGAAGCGUGAGUGACGGUAAUGGGUAAAGAAGCACCGGCUAACUACGUG